AACGCGAAGAACCUUACCUGGGCUUGAAAGGUCGUCUAAACAGGUGAAAGCCUGCUACCCGCAAGGGGGGCGAUACAGGUGCUGCAUGGCUGUCGUCAGCUCGUGCCGUGAGGUGUUUGGUUAAGUCCAGCAACGAGCGCAACCCCUGAAUUUAGUUGCCAGCACGUAAUGGUGGGAACUCUAAAUUAACUGCCUACGCAAGUAGUGAGGAAGGUGGGGACGACGUCAAGUCAUCAUGGCCCUUACGUCCAGGGCAACACACGUGCUACAAUGGCGGCUACAACGCGCAGCAAUACCGCGAGGUGGAGCGAAUCGCUAAAAAGCCGUCUCAGUUCGAAUCGGAGUCUGCAACUCGACUCCGUGAAGUUGGAAUUGCUAGUAAUGGUGUAUCAGAAUGAUACCGUGAAUACGUUCCCGGGCCUUGUACACACCGACUGUAC
RNAcentral lists this ribosomal RNA (440 nucleotides) under uncultured bacterium. RNAcentral describes it as "bacterial SSU rRNA". It matches the Rfam family "Bacterial small subunit ribosomal RNA", at positions 958 to 1399 of the family's 1533-position model. The record is from RNAcentral.